Molecule: long non-coding RNA, 260 nt
Filed under: Lathyrus oleraceus (garden pea)
Lineage: Eukaryota; Viridiplantae; Streptophyta; Magnoliopsida; Fabales; Fabaceae
Description: Pisum sativum (pea) long non-coding RNA (PSAT_LNC017062)
Source: RNAcentral
AACAGUGGAACACCACAACUCUCAAAUAAAACUUUUCAUUCUUUCAGCACUAAAGAAAUUUCUAGUGAAUAAAACUAAUAAAAGAAGGAGAGAGAAUAUGAUAGAAGAGUUGAUAGUUAAGAAAAUCUAUGUGUUUAGAAUUGAGAAAAACACAUCUUUAUAUAGAAAAAAUACAACUAAAAAAGGCAGCAAUCCAUGGACAUUACCUCUUCCUAAUAAAUUAGAGCAGAAACCUAAUCAACUAGGUUAAGUCAAAAAAG